GCAAAAUAGUCAGUGCCAAUGAUGAAUCAAAACUCAGUUUUGAUAAUAAGGAACAGGUUUAUUCGAGACAGAGAUAGGUUCCCAUCCAGUUCCCUGCGAUGUUGAAGGAAAGAUAUUGUAUAAAAGGUAAUUGUAAAGACAUACAAAGAGGCAUGAAACCAUGAAACACUUAGAUAACCUUCUCUCACUUGUACUCCAAUUUGGAGACUUGAUUUACAUGUAAGUAUUUACCCUUUUCCCCAGACAAUGCUCACAUUCAGUUCCUCUUUAUUCUUUCAGAUAUACUACCUGCAGGAAGACCUUCAUGGAAGAAGUAUCAGUCCAAAAGGAAAAAUCUUUUCUUUCUUCCUCACCAGCUUCUUUGAGUUAUGAAGGGUUCGCUAAGAAAUAUUUGCUUCUGAUUCAGUUAUCUUUCCUUUUCAGCCCUGGAUAUUUUCCUGCAUCUCAUCUUCAACAGAAAACUGCCUGUCUGAAUGCUGCUUGUUGCUAAUUUACAGUUGUCACUCCUGAGUCUGCCCAGGAUUCCAUACUGCCUGGUGUGUUUGGGGUACAUAAAGCAUUCAAAAAUGCCUUAGACUCAGGAAAGCAUUAGGCACUGAAAGCUCAGCACUGCAACCAUGGACCAGAGCAUCAGGUGACACUGAGGCAAUAUAGAUGUUGGCAAAGCAGAAGGCUCAGCUGGAUAUAUGCAGAGAUCUAUGUUUCAGGAAGAAAAACAAAACAAAACAAAACAAAAACAAAAUUGGUCUAGGAUAGAUUGUCAGUGGUGUACUACAAGUCCCUGGAUUAGUAACUGAGCACUGAAAACUAGGAGAAAAAAUCAAUUUCUAAGGAAACCAAAACAAAAUUUUGCACCCCAAAAUAGCAUUUCAUUUAAGGAUAUUAAAUCCAACCCCAUACAUUACAUCUCACUGUGAAAUAGGAUAGUUUUUAUGUUUUUAGUUGAGGAAAAUAAGGCUCACCAUCAUAGAGGAAAAAAAGAAAUGCUAUCAUCAUUUUCCUUCUCUAGGUUUUCA
Gallus gallus (chicken) is the source of this 1016-nucleotide long non-coding RNA. NCBI's taxonomy places the organism in Eukaryota, Metazoa, Chordata, Aves, Galliformes, Phasianidae. The record is from Ensembl.